GUAGAUAUAGUUUAAAAAAAACAUUAGAUUGUGAAUCUAACGACAGAGAAUUACACCCUCUUAUCUACC
This 69-nucleotide transfer RNA is filed under the name Hylomys suillus (short-tailed gymnure). RNAcentral's name for it is "transfer RNA-His". It matches the Rfam family "tRNA". Rfam says of the family: Transfer RNA (tRNA) molecules are approximately 80 nucleotides in length. Their secondary structure includes four short double-helical elements and three loops (D, anti-codon, and T loops). Further hydrogen bonds mediate the characteristic L-shaped molecular structure. tRNAs have two regions of fundamental functional importance: the anti-codon, which is responsible for specific mRNA codon recognition, and the 3' end, to which the tRNAs corresponding amino acid is attached (by aminoacyl-tRNA synthetases). tRNAs cope with the degeneracy of the genetic code in two manners: having more than one tRNA (with a specific anti-codon) for a particular amino acid; and 'wobble' base-pairing, i.e. permitting non-standard base-pairing at the 3rd anti-codon position. Lineage: Eukaryota; Metazoa; Chordata; Mammalia; Eulipotyphla; Erinaceidae. The record is from RNAcentral.